RNAcentral lists this ribosomal RNA (445 nucleotides) under uncultured Pelagibacterales bacterium. RNAcentral describes it as "bacterial SSU rRNA". It matches the Rfam family "Bacterial small subunit ribosomal RNA", at positions 1072 to 1533 of the family's 1533-position model. The record is from RNAcentral. Lineage: Bacteria; Pseudomonadati; Pseudomonadota; Alphaproteobacteria; Candidatus Pelagibacterales.
GAGAGUGGGUAUCCGCACGAGCGCACCUCACUUUAUCUUGCCAUCAUUAAGUCGGGCACUCUGAAAGAACUGCCAGUGAUAAGCUGGAGGAAGGUGGGGAUGACGUCAAGUCCUCAUGGCCCUUACGUGUUGGGCUACACACGUGCUACAAUGGCAUCUACAACAGGAAGCAAAACGGCAACGUUAAGCAAAUCCCGAAAAGAUGCCUCAGUUCGGAUUGCACUCUGCAACUCGAGUGCAUGAAGCUGGAAUUACUAGUAAUCGUGGAUCAGCGUGCCACGGUGAAUGCGUUCCCGGGUCUUGUACACACCGCCCGUCACACCAUGGGAGUUGGUUCUACCUUAAGGCAAGGUUUUAAACCCUUGACCACGGUAUAGUCAGCGACUGGGGUGAAGUCGUAACAAGGUAGCCGUAGGGGAACCUGCGGCUGGAUUACCUCCUUUCU